Molecule: ribosomal RNA, 418 nt
Filed under: uncultured bacterium
Lineage: Bacteria
Description: bacterial SSU rRNA
Rfam family: Bacterial small subunit ribosomal RNA
Source: RNAcentral
GGACCCGCACAAGUAGUGGAGCAUGUGGUUUAAUUCGAAGAUACGCGCAGAACCUUACCAACACUUGACAUGUUCGUCGCGACUCUAAGAGAUUAGAGUUUUCGGUUCGGCCGGACGAAACACAGGUGCUGCAUGGCUGUCGUCAGCUCGUGUCGUGAGAUGUUGGGUUAAGUCCCGCAACGAGCGCAACCCUCACUUUUAGUUGCCAUCAUUUAGUUGGGCACUCUGAAAGAACUGCCAGUGAUAAGCUGGAGGAAGGUGGGGAUGACGUCAAGUCCUCAUGGCCCUUACGUGUUGGGCUACACACGUGCUACAAUGGUAUCUACAACAGGAAGCAAGACUGCGAGGUCAAGCAAAUCCUUAAAAGAUACCUCAGUUCGGAUUGCACUCUGCAACUCGAGUGCAUGAAGCUGGAAUU